GGAGAUAGCCUCGUAGAAAUGACAACCACAAUGUUAAUACUAACAUAUGUAUUACAUGGUUUGUUUGUUCUUUCGCUUAAUAUUUUCAGAGCACCUACCUAUUAUAGGCACUGUCACUUCUCACAAAACUGGGACAACUAACUGUUUAUCCAACAUCUGCUGGCUAAAUAAAGACAUGAUCUUCACCUUUUGGGAUUGUUAAUUUAAAAUGGUUCCAUAAGAGCAAUGCAAAGACAGAGAUAUUUGGCAGCACUGCAGCUGGUGAUUUAUAUGGCUCUUCACAAGGUGUUAUUUUGGGGUAUCAAGGUAUGGAUGCUUAAAUCAGCUGCAGGAAGUAAGAAAGAAGAAAAAAGGAGUGAUAAAGAUAAAAAAAAAUCAACCUUGGUCCUUCCACCAAGACCCAUUAAUUUCCAUAUCAUCAUCUGCAUAAGAGGGAAGAUUCCUACAUGACCAGAUUAUAACGAAAGACAAAAUAUAUGCUGCAGUUGGGGUGGAGAAAUUGAAGGAGAGAAACACAGUGGCCUCAUUCAGGAUCAGAGCUUAACCAUCACGACACAUGGGUGAGGGGAAGAUAAAUCACUGUUCCUCCAGCAUCCAAAAAUAUAUCCAAUCCCCCAUUCUUCAUGGCCAUGUGGAAGAAAGAUCCUACUUACUGGUACACCCAUCAACAAAAAACAAACCCAAAAUGGAGAAGAGAAGAGGAUAUAUUAACCAUUACAUAUUUUAUAAACACUACAAACCCUGGCAAGUAACAUUUGUGAAAUUAGUGAAUGAAUGAAUUAAUAAAUGAACAUAAGUGUGAA
Molecule: long non-coding RNA, 803 nt
Organism: Homo sapiens (human)
Lineage: Eukaryota; Metazoa; Chordata; Mammalia; Primates; Hominidae
Product: long intergenic non-protein coding RNA 1884
Source: Ensembl